This 482-nucleotide ribosomal RNA is filed under the name uncultured bacterium. Its description in RNAcentral is "partial 16S ribosomal RNA". It matches the Rfam family "Bacterial small subunit ribosomal RNA", at positions 28 to 523 of the family's 1533-position model. The record is from RNAcentral.
AGUGAACGUUGGCGGCGUGGAUUAGGCAUGCGAGUCGAGCGAGAACCGUAGCAAUACGGGGACAGCGGCGAAAGGGACAGUAAUAUGUAGGUACCUACCCUCGGGUCCGGGAUAGCCGCCGGAAACUGCAGGUAAUACCGCAUGACAUCUCCGGAUCCAAGGUGUGAUUCCGCCCGGGGAGGGGCCUGUAACCUAUUCGCUUGCUGGUGGGGUAACGGCCUACCAAGGCGACGAUGGGUAGCGGGUGUGAGAGCAUGACCUACGUCAUUGGGACUGAGACACUGCCCAGACACCUACGGGUGGCUGCAGUCGAGAAUCUUCGGCAAUGGGGGCAACCCUGACCGAGCGACGCCGCGUGCGGGAUGAAGGCCUACGGGUUGUAAACCGCUGUCGUAGAGGAGGAAAUGCAGGGGGGUUCUCCCCUCUGUUUGACCUAUUCUAGGAGGAAGGACGGGCUAAGUGCGUGCCAGCAGCCGCCGUAA